Molecule: microRNA, 23 nt
Filed under: Monodelphis domestica (gray short-tailed opossum)
Lineage: Eukaryota; Metazoa; Chordata; Mammalia; Didelphimorphia; Didelphidae
Description: mdo-miR-7365-5p
Source: miRBase by way of RNAcentral
UGAAUCGAUCGGCUUUGCUGAGG